GCCUUGGUGGAUCAAUUGGCAGAUCAUCCCAACCCAGUCGAUGAAUAUUGAGGGAAGGCGGAGGUUCGAAUCCUCCCCAAGGCG
Mycena rebaudengoi is the source of this 84-nucleotide non-coding RNA. NCBI's taxonomy places the organism in Eukaryota, Fungi, Basidiomycota, Agaricomycetes, Agaricales, Mycenaceae. The record is from the annotation of a GenBank genome assembly.